Molecule: long non-coding RNA, 140 nt
Organism: Dipodomys spectabilis (banner-tailed kangaroo rat)
Lineage: Eukaryota; Metazoa; Chordata; Mammalia; Rodentia; Heteromyidae
Exons: 2
Source: RefSeq, a predicted model, not a curated record
UUGUAUCACUGUGGGAGGGUAACAAACAUGCUGUUGACAGUAAUAAGUGCCAAAAUCUUCAGGCUUCAGGCUGCUGAUGGUGAGAGAAUAAUCUGUCCCAGAUCCACUGCCACUAAACCUGGAUGGGACCCCAGAGGCCA